GCAAGGAAUUUUGCGCAAUGGGCGAAAGCCUGACGCAGCAACGCCGCGUGGAGGAUGAAGGCCUUCGGGUUGUAAACUCCUUUUGCUGGGGAAGAAGAUCUGACGGUACCCAGCGAAUAAGCCUCGGCUAACUACGUGCCAGCAGCCGCGGUAAUACGUAGGAGGCAAGCGUUGUCCGGAUUUACUGGGCAUAAAGAGCGCGCAGGCGGUCUGUUAAGUCAGAUGUGAAAUCUCCCGGCUCAACUGGGAGGGGGCAUCUGAUACUAGCGGGCUUGAGGAGAGUAGAGGGAAGCGGAAUUCCCGGUGUAGUGGUGAAAUGCGUAGAUAUCGGGAGGAACACCAGUGGCGAAGGCGGCUUCCUAGGCUCUACCUGACGCUGAGGCGCAAAAGCGUGGGUAGCAAACCGGAUUAGAUACCCUUGUAGUCC
RNAcentral lists this ribosomal RNA (427 nucleotides) under uncultured bacterium. RNAcentral describes it as "bacterial SSU rRNA". It matches the Rfam family "Bacterial small subunit ribosomal RNA", at positions 354 to 796 of the family's 1533-position model. The record is from RNAcentral.